UACGAAGGGGGCUAGCGUUGCUCGGAAUUACUGGGCGUAAAGCGCACGUAGGCGGCUUUCUAAGUCGGGGGUGAAAUCCUGGAGCUCAACUCCAGAACUGCCUUCGAUACUGGCGAGCUCGAGUUCGGGAGAGGUGAGUGGAACUGCGAGUGUAGAGGUGAAAUUCGUAGAUAUUCGCAAGAACACCAGUGGCGAAGGCGGCUCACUGGCCCGAUACUGACGCUGAGGUGCGAAAGCGUGGGGAGCAAACAGG
Molecule: ribosomal RNA, 253 nt
Filed under: uncultured bacterium
Lineage: Bacteria
Description: partial 16S ribosomal RNA
Rfam family: Bacterial small subunit ribosomal RNA
Source: RNAcentral